UCCCCGCUUCUCCUCCCUGAGCGGGUGCCUGUCGUUAUUCGAUUAGGCUGUUUGACCCGCCGCGAAACGGCGGGUUUUUUUAU
This is a small RNA of Burkholderia glumae, 83 nucleotides long. It matches the Rfam family "Burkholderia RNA 7 (anti-hemB)". From Rfam's summary of the family: This RNA motif was identified by computational search in b-proteobacteria Burkholderia. Co-purified with Hfq, expression confirmed by Northern blot. NCBI's taxonomy places the organism in Bacteria, Pseudomonadati, Pseudomonadota, Betaproteobacteria, Burkholderiales, Burkholderiaceae. The record is from Rfam.